This 771-nucleotide ribosomal RNA is filed under the name Triticum aestivum (bread wheat). Its description in RNAcentral is "partial small subunit ribosomal RNA". The record is from RNAcentral. Lineage: Eukaryota; Viridiplantae; Streptophyta; Magnoliopsida; Poales; Poaceae.
AUGACUUCACCGGUGGUGGUGAUGAUUCAACAGGUUCUGGUGGUUCAUACUUCUCGGCCGGAGGAGGAGACGACUUCGCCGGAGUUGGUGGUGGCAUUGACUUUUCUUUUGGUGGGAUCACCGGUGUUUCCGUUGGCGGAGACUUCUUCGGUGCAGGUGGGGGAGGAGAUUUCACAGGAGGUGGUGGAGAGCUCACUGGAGCAGGCGGGGGAGGAGAUUUCACCGGGGGUNNNNNNNNNNNNNGGGGUGGAGGAGAGUGCACCGGUGCGGGUGGCGGAAGCACCUUCACGGGCGUCGGUGGUGGAAGCACCUUCUCUGGUGCGGGUGGCGGAAGCACCUUCACGGGCGUCGGUGGUGGAAGCACCUUCUCUGGUGCGGGUGGCGGAAGCACCUUCACGGGCGGCGCGUAUUCUUCCGGCGGAGGUGCCUUCUUGCGCUCAGGGGUCAACGGGAGCCAGCCAGAACUGGGAGGUGGUGGAGCACCAGCAUACUCAUCCUUGGGUGGAAGUGGCCCAACAAUCGGGCCCAAAACAGCCGGCUCGGGUGCGGGUGCGGGUGCUGGUGCUGGCGUCGGGAUCUCCAUUGCUGGCCCAAUUAUCGGGGACAGCGCCGGCGUCGACGGGGCGCGCGAGCACGGGCGCGCACUGGAGCGUGGUCUUCUGCGCGGGGCGGAGCGCGCCGAGGCAGUUGUUGGCGUCGUCGAGGUUGACCUCGGAUUUGUCGGAGGGCAUGCAGGGCGCGGACUCAGACUCGAAGAAGUUGGAUGCGUAG